RNAcentral lists this ribosomal RNA (586 nucleotides) under uncultured bacterium. RNAcentral's name for it is "bacterial SSU rRNA". It matches the Rfam family "Bacterial small subunit ribosomal RNA", at positions 338 to 916 of the family's 1533-position model. The record is from RNAcentral.
CCUACGGGAGGCAGCAGUGGGGAAUUUUGGACAAUGGGCGCAAGCCUGAUCCAGCAAUGCCGCGUGCAGGAUGAAGGCCUUCGGGUUGUAAACUGCUUUUGUACGGAACGAAACGGUCUGCUCUAAUACAGUGGGCUAAUGACGGUACCGUAAGAAUAAGCACCGGCUAACUACGUGCCAGCAGCCGCGGUAAUACGUAGGGUGCGAGCGUUAAUCGGAAUUACUGGGCGUAAAGCGUGCGCAGGCGGUUAUAUAAGACAGAUGUGAAAUCCCCGGGCUCAACCUGGGACCUGCAUUUGUGACUGUAUAGCUAGAGUGCGGCAGAGGGGGGAUGGAAUUCCGCGUGUAGCAGUGAAAUGCGUAGAUAUGCGGAGGAACACCGAUGGCGAAGGCAAUCCCCUGGGCCUGCACUGACGCUCAUGCACGAAAGCGUGGGGAGCAAACAGGAUUAGAUACCCUGGUAGUCCACGCCCUAAACGAUGUCAACUGGUUGUUGGGUCUUCACUGACUCAGUAACGAAGCUAACGCGUGAAGUUGACCGCCUGGGGAGUACGGCCGCAAGGUUGAAACGUCAAAGGAUUGACGG